This 7282-nucleotide long non-coding RNA is filed under the name Zea mays. RNAcentral's name for it is "long non-coding RNA (ZMAY_LNC000971)". Lineage: Eukaryota; Viridiplantae; Streptophyta; Magnoliopsida; Poales; Poaceae. The record is from RNAcentral.
CGUAGACUAUGUAGAACUACAUGUACCAUUUUGGGACAAUUAGAAAAGUGUUUUCUAUAGCUAGUAGAUUUAGUUCGUUUAUUUGAAUUUCUUCAAAAAAUUCACAUUUGAACUACAAGUCACUCGAAACUUGGAAAACUAUUGGGGACUUGUUCUCAAAUACUAUGAAUUAAGAACAAGGCAACACGAGAUUUUAAGUGUUAAUACCCUUCGUCCUUCGAAGCAUUAUUCCCCUUAGGAUAUAAUGAUCUUCAGACGAAGGGCAUGAAGGACAUACCUUCAUCAUUGCAAUAUGUAUUAAUAAAAGAAGAAGCAUAUGAAGCACAUGAAGUGUAAAAGAAAACAUAAAUAAUCAUAUAACAUUGUUAAUUCAUUCUUAUUAUAUUAUCAUGGAAAGACAGAAAUAAUAUCGAAUUACAAAAGUACCUUCGGCUUGACAGAAGGCAAAAAACACCAACGUGGCACAAAAGCAAAUACCAGUCAGCGUGAACAGUAUGGGGGUACUGUUCACCUAUUUAUAGGCAUGGGACAUAGCCCGUGUAAAAUUACAUCUAGGCCCUUUACAUUUGCUAAUAACUUUAAGGUAAUUCACCGGGGGUCUAAAUAGCCUUUUCCCUUUUAAGUCGGUUCCCUUUUCUAUCGUUACGCCGAAGCUUCCUUGCACGUAGCUUCGACGCUGCGUCAACCUUCGUAUCAUUCGUGCUUUUCACACUACGUGAUUCUGCUCCGAGACCGAAGGCACCUGUUCACAUAUUACACUUGGAAAACAUUGUUAAAUUAUGUUUUUGAGGACCUUCAGAAGACGAAGGCCCCCAACAGUAGCCCCUCGUAAUAUUAAUUUGUUAGAAUAACGAAUUCAUAUUGCGACAUGGACGAAGGCCCUAAGUCGAAGGUCCAGAAAAACACCUUCCCUUUGCUUUAAUAGCCACAGUCAAUGACAAACGGGACCCUCCAACUUGGAGCGCGUCGAUCGUAUAAAUAGGAACUCACCCUGAGCACAUUUGGUAUGCUACUUGCCGCUUGUUUUGUUUACUCAAUUUUUAGCUCUUGCUUGCCAACGCCUGUUUAGUUUCUCAGACUUCCUAAGCUUCGGUUUUAAGGACGCAUUUUCAUUAUUUCCGAAGAAAAGAUGUCUCAAGACAAAAAAGUUGCUGCUAAGACGAAGCUAAACGAAGAGGAGAAGCUCCUUGAGGAGAAGACUGCUGGAUUUGUUGAGUCAAUAGAAAAAACAAAUACAGAGAAGAUUACUAAAGAGAUACUAGAAGGCUUGUCUGAAGAUACCGAUGAUAGCGACAAUUAUGAUGUGGAGAGUAGAGGCGAAGACUCUGAAGAUCGGCCCUGGCGACCAAGUCAUGCAGUCUUCGGGAAAUCAACUAUCAAACAGAGUCAUAUUGAUAAUAUGAGAGGAAGGUAUUUUCGAGAUAUGUCUAUUGUGAGGGCUGACGUAGACAGAGUCGUUCCUGCUCCCGAAGAAAACGAAGUUGUGAUCUUCCGAAGCUUCUUCAAAGCUGGACUUCGAUUCCCGUUGAGCAGAUUUGUGGUUGAAGUUUUAAAGACAUACCAGAUUUUCCUUCACUAGAUCACUCCUGAAGCAGUUAUUAGAAUGGGGAUCUUCGUCUGGGCUGUGAGAAGUCAAGGUCUAGAGCCAAGCGCAAGAUGUUUUUGCAGUAUGCACGAGCUUUCGUAUGAGACGAAGCCCUGGGGUAAGGAACAAUAUCAUAACAAUUUCGGUUGUUAUAGCUUCGUUGCUCGCUCUGGCGCAAGCUACCCAGUGCCAACGUUUCGAAAGAGAUGGCCCGGGGCCUAGAUGGAAGAGUGGUUUUACGUGAAAAAUGAUUUGAAGGCGAGAGAAGACAUUAAAGAAAUCAUCAUGCGCCCCAUCUGGUCCUGCUUCGGCCUUCGUAAACCGAAGGUAGAAAUUGAUGAGGCAGCCGAAGCAUGCCGAAGGGCCUUCAGCACAGUUUGCUCUUUUAUUGGGACAAGAGACUUAGUUCAAGAACAUGUAGCCUACAGGAUAUGGCCACUGAUAGACAGCUGGGAAAUGCCGAAAGAAACCAUCACUAACCCUAGCGAAGGUUGCCUGGUUCGAUUGAAAUAUACCUUCAGGUUUGGAGACCAGUUUGUCGAACCAGAUGAUGACUGGCUGAAGUGUGUUGAAAAUACUAGCGAUGAGUUACUUGGAGCAUAUUCCAAGUCCGAAGAUAAUGCACUAUCGGCGGCCUUCGGGAGCCGAAAAAAGAAAAGAUUAAAUAGGGUUUUUGAUGCUAUUGGAUUUGUGUACCCUGACUCUCGCUACCCGCCACGGGGGCAGAAAAGAAAGGGUGUAACCUCUGUAAAGGUUGCUGCUUCGGCCGCUCCAAGCGUGCCUGCGCCGAAGAGUAAAAAGUUGAAGGUCCUUAGCCACCGACCACGUUAUAUUGAACCGGUCGUAGUGCCUGAGUUUGGUGGGGAGACCUCUUCAGCUACUGAAGCGAAAGGACAUGCUCCUCCCACGCAGAAGAUUGAAGAGCCGGCUGCAAUGCCGAAGGCACCCUCAGCCAAGUUAGCUGAGCCGAAGACUAAUAAAACUGAGGAGCCAUGAAUCAAAGGAACAAAAACAUUAGAAGUUUUAAGCCCUUCGGCAGAAGUGACAAUGCCGAAGGCACAAAAAAGGUCUUGCGGCGACCCCCAAGAGAAAAAAGAUGGCAAGUGUACUAUAUGUGCUGGAGACGGUAAAGGCUUCAAGCUCUACUCCAGGGAGAAUUGCCAAGGCUUCGAAAGUGCAAAUUGAAGCCAAAACAAAACUGACCGAAGCCGAAGCUGCAAUGAGCCAGGCUAGCGCCGAAGCUAGGGCUUCAGAGCCUGCUAAGGAAAAAUCCUCGGAAAUUGGAGAGAAGGCAACAGAGGAAGAGGCUAUAGAACAGACUUUGCCUAAAAAAGUUGUCACUCCUACUCCCGAAGCAUCUUCCGAAGACCUUGAUUAUGUUAUUCGACAUGCUUCGGGAAAAAGAUUAUCCGAGGAAGAAAUUUUUGAAGCCAAACACUAUGCCCGAGAACUGAAGUACCCGAAAGGGGCCUUAGUGUUUAAUGGUAAAGAUGAAGAUGAUUUCUGGUAUUGCCUCCCAGACAACAAAGAAUUAUCCUUCUGCCGGGAGAUGGCCAGAAGUAUGGGGUUUCCGAAGCUCGAAGCUGGCCUCUGUGCCAUGACGAAGGACGAUCUUGCGGAUAGCCUUGCAUAUAAUAGUCUGAAGGUACAAAAGUUGUGAAUUUUGAAGUUUGUGAAUUCUAUAUUAGAGUCUUUUGUUCUCAUGUUAAUCCAUUCAUUCUUUCUUGUAGGGCUUAAUACUUAGCAACGCCUUAAGGGCGCAAAAGAAUGCUGAAGACGAGAGCUGCACUAUCGCUCUCAACAACCUUCGAACAGAGGUUAUCAAGCUGAGAAACGAAGCCACGGAAAAAGACAAAAUUCUACUUACAUUGGUGGACAAAGUAAAGGGGGAUGAAGCUAACUUCAAGGCUCAAUCUGAAAUUCAAAAGAAUGAGAUUGAAGACCUUCGAAAACAACUGGCUGAGGCCAAAUUAAAAUGCGCUGUUGCCGAAGCUGACCGAGAUGCCAGUGAGUACUAGAAAAAUUAUUUUGAAAAAACAGUUGCCGAGCUUCGCGCAUCAAAAGAAAGAUGUUUUGAAAAAUCUGUGGAAUGCGUAAAAAAGAUAAAGACUAGCUUCGCCAACGUGGGCGCGUACUCGAGCGAAGACAACUUCAUAAGAGGCGAUCCUGAGGGCGUAAUCGAGUGGAUCAGCGGUGAAGCUGAAGCUUUUGAAGAGAUUUUGAGUGACCGCGGGGACGUCUGUGCAUUCUAUGGUGCGAGGGUAGUUACAGCUAUUUUGGAGAAGGCAGUGUGCGAACAUGUUAAAACUUUGGCCCAGGUCGAAGCUGCCUUUUCUAUCAACGAUACGAAGGACCCCUCGGCCGAAGCAAGCUCAAUAGGCGGAAAAUUUUUCACUGAUAUCUGGGAAAAUGGUGGCCGAGGGAUGGCCCAUGAAAUAAUGAAGAAGAGCGAAAAUAAUAUUCAUGACGCUCGAAAAGCAACGAAAGCAGCUGAAAAAGCUGCGGAACUCGAAAGACGAAUAGGUAUUACUUAAUGGCUUUUAACUUUGUUUUUUAUUUUUGUGACUUCGAACUAAUUCAUGUCUUCUACCGCAGUUGAACUAUCUCCUCCCCCAGAGCCAUUCGACCCACUGGCCGACCCAGAAACAAAGAAAGCAAUAGAAAUUAUUAAUAUGGCCGAAGCUAUUGUAGAUGAAGUUGUUACCAAGCUGCUAACCGAAGCUACAGAAAAAAAUUCUGAAGGAAGAAGAGUAGCUAUUGUAAAAACAUUUUCUAGAAUAUUAAUGUAACAUUUGCUGAACUAUGUUUGUAAUAUUCAGUGCUUAUAGAUUUGAAUGUAAUAUAUGAGUGGUUUGUAAUUUAGUUCUUUGCGAUGCAUGAAACUUUUUGUACAUACCGUUUUUGAGCCUGCGGCGAAAAAACACCUUCCCUUCUUUUCAUGCUUUGUAAAGAAGAGCUUUUAUGCUUCGUAAAAAUCAUCCAUACUUUAUAAAACAUCAAUGCUUCAUAAACAAUAGAUCCCUUCUUCCGCAUCAGAACUGAUGAAGCUGUGAUUCUCAGCUUACUUUAUGCCUUGGCAUCUUUUUAUUUUUUGUAAAGCAUUGCUCGAAGAUCGGCCUCGUUUUCAAUUGAUGUCAUUGAUGUGAUAUGAUGUUUGAUGUGAUGCUAUGAUAUGUGAUGCGAUGAUAUGAUGCAAAGAAUGAUGCUAAUGUAUCGUGCAAAUGAAUGCCCAAACACACAAAUUCGAAGCUUCAUCCACAACCUUCAUUCCCUAAGGAAUGAUUGAAAUCUCUUUAUCGUUUACUUUUCGGCUGCACCGUUUAUUUUUCGGUGUAAGUUCUGCAUUCCCUAAGGAACGUCUUUUGAACUUCUUCGCCUUCUAUUUCGGUGGUAUUCUCGUUGACUUUUCGCGCUUCGCCUUAUAUUUCGGCGGUAUCUGGCUCUGCAUUCCCUAAGGAACGACUUUUGAGCAGAAAACUUAGGCUGCGCUCCCUUAGAAACGGCUUUUUGAAGCAUCGGCAAACUUACGCUGUGCUCUUUAAGAAUGACUUUUGUAGCUUCGGUGAAACUUUUACUACGAUUUUUAGCUCUGCAUUCCUGAAGGAAUAUCUCUUUGUAGCUUCGGCAUUCUCGUGAGUCUGUGACGAAGGUAUAUUUCAUUUUGAUAUAAACGAAGCUAGUACAGGAAUUUAAAAAAUAACAAGAAAAUUAGGUUUACAUUGAUUGUUCCUUAUUAAAAAGAAAACGACAGUGAAUGUAAAACUAUGCCAAAGGUAGGAUAUGUCUCAAUAUAUAUGUUUUGAUUCUGGCACAGUACUAUUAACUGUGCGAGCUUCGGACCCCUCCCUGAAAUCUCACUGCUGAUGGGUCUGUUGACUCCCUUCUGGCUGCUGGCCUCGAGAGUAGGCAGGCUAUAGUGGUGGCGGAGGUGGAAGCUGUGGCCAAGAAACUUGCGGCUGACUAGCCGAAGCAACAGAAGCUGCGGGAUGAUUACCCGCAUAUUCUGGUAUGUAGGGUGAAUGACACGAAGCGGUGUGCAAGACCUGCUUCGGCUGACUUUGCCGGGUUUCGGCUUCUGCAAUCUCUUUUUGCUUUUGGAUGGUGAUUUGACACGUUCUUGUAUUGUGGCCCUUGUCUUCACCACAAAAUAGGCAGUAGAUCUUCCUGGGUUGGUCCCCAUAUCUUCCUCCGAAGCCCCUGGCGUCUCUGCCUCUUGGAGCUGGCGACCGGAAACAGCUUUGUUGCUGCCCCGAAGCUUGCGAAGAAUACUGCGGCCUCUGCUGUUGACUUCCUCUGUCAUCACUCUGGGUGGAGUUGUGAAUUGACCUGACGUGCCUCGGGUGGAUUCUUCCUCCGAAGCCCCUGGUCAUUUCAGAGAACCUGUAUGCUUCCUCCCUUCUUUGGCGGAAGUCAUUGUCAGCCCGGAUGUACUCAUCCAUCUUCAGAAGCAGCUUCUCUAGAGUCUGUGGGGGCUUUCUAGCGAAAUACUGAGCAGUAGGUCCUGGACGAAGCCCCUUAAUCAUGGCUUCAAUGACAAUUUCAUUGGGCACUGUAGGCGCUUGUGCUCUGAGACACAAGAACCUUCGGACAUAUGCCUGGAGGUACUCCUCAUGAUCUUGCGUGCACUGAAACAAGGCCUGAGCUGUGACUGGCUUCGUCUGGAAGCCUUGGAAACUUGUCACCAGCAUAUCCUUGAGCUUCUGCCACGAAGUAAUGGUCCCUGGCCGAAGAGAAGAAUACCAUGUUUGGGCCACAUUCCGAACUGCCAUGACGAAGGACUUGGCCAUGACAGCUGCACUGCCUCCAUAUGAAGAUAUAGUUGCUUCAUAACUCAUCAAAAACUGCUUCAGGUCUGAAUGCCCAUCAUACAUGGGAAGCUGAGGUGGCUUGUAUGAUGGGGGCCAUGGGAUAGCCUGCAGUUCUGCUGCCAAGGGAAAAGCAUCAUCAAAAGUAAAGGUAUCAUGAUUAAAAUCAUCAUACCAUCCAUCGUUGUUGAACAAGCCUUCUUGAUGAAGCUCCCUGUGUUGGGGCCUUCGAUCUUGUUCGUCUUGAACAAGAUGGCAUACUUCUUCAGUGGCUUCGUCGAUCUGCCUUUGAAGAUCAGCCAGUCGAGCCAUCUUCUCCUUCUUCCUUUGCACUUGCUGAUGGAUUAUCUCCAUGUUUAUGAUUUCUUGGUCCAACUCUUCCUCCUGGAGUGUUGGACUAGUGGCCUUCCUCUUCUAACUUCGGGCCUCUCGAAGAGAAAGGGUUUCCUGGUUCGGGUCUAGUGGCUGUAGUGCGGCAGCCCCUGGCGCUGAAGCUUUCUUCGGUGGCAUGACGAAGGUCAGUGCUUGCCAAAGGUGGUCGAAAAAGGGUUCACCGGAGGUGGCGCCAAUGUUGGGGACUUGUUUUCAAAUACUAUGAAUUAAGAACAAGGCAACACGAGAUUUAAGUGUUAAUACCCUUCGUCCUUCGAAGCAUUAUUCCCCUUAGGAUAUAAUGAUCUUCAAACGAAGGGCAUGAAGGACAUACUUUCAUCAUUGCAAUAUGUAUUAAUAAAAGAAGAAGCAUAUGAAGUGUAAAAGACAACAUAAAUAAUCAUAUAACAUUGUUAAUUCAUUCUUAUUAUAUUAUCAUGGAAAGACAGAAAUAAUAUCGAAUUACAAAAGUACCUUCGGCUUGACAGAAGGCAAAAAACACCAACGUGGCACAAAAGCA